CUCUACAGGUAAUCCACUCAAACCCCUGAGCAGAUCGUCCUUCUUAGGAGUGCUAGCUCGUGAUGAAGGAUCUGGAUGGCUGAUGGAGACUCCUUUCUUCCAAUCAAAUAGAUACCUUUAAAUCAGAGAAAGAGCUUUUCAAGGAGGAGAUGGUGUGAAGAACAAAAACAUUUUAUUUUUCUCUCUCACAAAACAGCUACAACCCUCACCCUAGAUCUCACACCCCAAAGAGGAUCUUCUUCCUCUUUCUCUCAUGCACGGAUGUCCACCCCUCUUUUUAGAUCUUUCAUGCAAUCUUUGAGGUUUUCUUAUGCCAAAUCUAAAGUGGUUUGGUGCAUAAAAAUUACUCUUCUUAAAGGUGGCAUCACAUGUAGAGUUUGGAUAAUCUGGUUCAGCUUCAAACAGCCUUUUGAUCUUAUCAUGAAUUCAAAUCAAAUUUUAAUUUUAUUUUAAAUUAGAUUUAAUCUACACAUAAGGGUAUCAAAAAGGAGAGUGACUUAACUCAGAUUGGUUGAAAAAAUAUCACAUAAAAAAUUAUUUGCAUAUGAGAAGG
RNAcentral lists this long non-coding RNA (553 nucleotides) under Elaeis guineensis (African oil palm). Its description in RNAcentral is "long non-coding RNA (EGUI_LNC064035)". Lineage: Eukaryota; Viridiplantae; Streptophyta; Magnoliopsida; Arecales; Arecaceae. The record is from RNAcentral.